GCCCUGGUGGUGUAGCCUGGCGCGGCCUAAAUAAGCUUGCUUAUUAAGCUGCAGGAACUAUCAUGAAGCCCUGUCGCGGCUUCGACCCGGGUUCAAAUCCCGGCCAGGGCG
RNAcentral lists this transfer RNA (111 nucleotides) under Candidatus Woesearchaeota archaeon. Its description in RNAcentral is "tRNA-Asp". The record is from RNAcentral. RNAcentral also lists the same sequence under 1 other name. Lineage: Archaea; Nanobdellati; Candidatus Woesearchaeota.